RNAcentral lists this ribosomal RNA (365 nucleotides) under uncultured bacterium. Its description in RNAcentral is "partial 16S ribosomal RNA". It matches the Rfam family "Bacterial small subunit ribosomal RNA", at positions 338 to 700 of the family's 1533-position model. The record is from RNAcentral.
CCUACGGGAGGCAGCAGUGAGGAAUAUUGGUCAAUGGACGAGAGUCUGAACCAGCCAAGUAGCGUGAAGGAUGACUGCCCUAUGGGUUGUAAACUUCUUUUAUAUGGGAAUAAAAUGUGCCACGUGUGGGAUUUUGUAUGUACCAUAUGAAUAAGGAUAGGAUAACUCCGUGCCAGCAGCCGCGGUAAUACGGAGGAUCCGAGCGGUAUCCGGAUUUAUUGGGUGUAAAGGGCGCGUAGGGGGUUUGUUAAGUCAGUUGUGAAAGUUUGCGGCUCAACCGGAAAAUUGCAGUUGAAACUGGCAGUCUUGAGUACAGUAGAGUUGGGCGGCAUUCGUUGUGUAGCGGUGACAUGCUUAGAUAUCAC